RNAcentral lists this ribosomal RNA (402 nucleotides) under uncultured bacterium. RNAcentral's name for it is "bacterial SSU rRNA". It matches the Rfam family "Bacterial small subunit ribosomal RNA", at positions 355 to 774 of the family's 1533-position model. The record is from RNAcentral.
UGGGGAAUAUUGCACAAUGGGGGAAACCCUGAUGCAGCAACGCCGCGUGGAGGAUGAAGCAUUUCGGUGUGUAAACUCCUUUUAUUUGGGAAGAUAAUGACGGUACCAAAUGAAUAAGCACCGGCUAACUCCGUGCCAGCAGCCGCGGUAAUACGGAGGGUGCAAGCGUUACUCGGAAUUACUGGGCGUAAAGGGUGCGUAGGCGGGUUAUCAAGUCUUGAGUGAAAUCCAAUAGCUUAACUAUUGAACUGCUUGAGAAACUGGUAGCCUAGAGUAGGGGAGAGGUAGAUGGAAUUGGUGGUGUAGGGGUAAAAUCCAUAGAUAUCACCAGGAAUACUCAUGGCGAAGGCGAUCUACUGGAACUUAACUGACGCUGAGGCACGAAAGCGUGGGGAGCAAACA